CAGUAGCCGCGGUAAUACGUAGGUCCCGAGCGUUGUCCGGAUAUAUUGGGCGUAAAGCGAGCGCAGGCGGUUAGAUAAGUCUGAGGUUAAAGGCUGUAGCUUAACCAUAGUACGCUUUGGAAACUGUUUAACUUGAGUGCAAGAGGGGAGAGUGGAAUUCCAUGUGUAGCGGUGAAAUGCGUAGAUAUAUGGAGGAACACCGGUGGCGAAAGCGGCUCUCUGGCUUGUAACUGACGCUGAGGCUCGAAAGCGUGGGGGGCAAACAGGAUUAGAUACCCCAGUAGUCCCUGUCUCUUAUACA
Molecule: ribosomal RNA, 301 nt
Filed under: uncultured bacterium
Lineage: Bacteria
Description: partial 16S ribosomal RNA
Rfam family: Bacterial small subunit ribosomal RNA
Source: RNAcentral